Molecule: long non-coding RNA, 287 nt
Filed under: Glycine max (soybean)
Lineage: Eukaryota; Viridiplantae; Streptophyta; Magnoliopsida; Fabales; Fabaceae
Description: long non-coding RNA (GMAX_LNC004577)
Source: RNAcentral
UUUCAUAUUAUACAUUUUCAGCAGCGGGAUCAAGUUGAUAGAGUGCAGAUUCUGAAACACGCUUCUUGUACUUGGCAAUGAAAGCUUCAGCUUUCAUGUCAAUAUUGGGCUCAGCAACACCCCAGUUACCUUUGUCGUAAUCGCUAGGAUAGACUCUGCGCCACGAAUCAGGGGCAUCAGAGUACCCUCCUCUGGGCGUCCUUGAUGAGAAGAUGUUGAAAAUAGAGAAGAAACCCGAAGAAGACUUCUUAUGCCUAUUACCUGCCAUGAUUGUUGUGUUUUUUUUU